GACGAACGCUGGCGGCGUGCUUAACACAUGCAAGUCGAACGGAAAGGCCCUGCUUUUGUGGGGUGCUCGAGUGGCGAACGGGUGAGUAACACGUGAGUAACCUGCCCUUGACUUUGGGAUAACUUCAGGAAACUGGGGCUAAUACCGGAUAGGAGCUCCUGCUGCAUGGUGGGGGUUGGAAAGUUUCGGCGGUUGGGGAUGGACUCGCGGCUUAUCAGCUUGUUGGUGGGGUAGUGGCUUACCAAGGCUUUGCCGGGUAGCCGGCCUGAGAGGGUGACCGGCCACAUUGGGACUGAGAUACGGCCCAGACUCCUACGGGAGGCAGCAGUGGGGAAUAUUGCACAAUGGGCGGAAGCCUGAUGCAGCAACGCCGCGUGCGGGAUGACGGCCUUCGGGUUGUAAACCGCUUUCGCCUGUGACGAAGCGUGAGUGACGGUAAUGGGUAAAGAGGCACCGGCUAACUACGUG
This 468-nucleotide ribosomal RNA is filed under the name uncultured bacterium. RNAcentral's name for it is "partial 16S ribosomal RNA". It matches the Rfam family "Bacterial small subunit ribosomal RNA", at positions 28 to 507 of the family's 1533-position model. The record is from RNAcentral.